This 448-nucleotide unclassified non-coding RNA is filed under the name Hevea brasiliensis (rubber tree). Lineage: Eukaryota; Viridiplantae; Streptophyta; Magnoliopsida; Malpighiales; Euphorbiaceae. The record is from RNAcentral.
GUUAUCUCAUAAAAAUAGAAAGAAAAAGUAAUUCUUUUUUUGUUAACAUCCGCUUUUGUGUAGGGUUACUGUAACGGGACCCACAUCUCAACCCACAACCCAUGUGAUGCUUCUUCAUAAAUCCCUAUAAUCAAAGGACACGUGGCAAAGCAGCUCUGUCACUCUAUCACCAAAAAAUGAAAAUACCAUUUGCUUUCAUUAUCUACUUUUGGGUGAGCCAGUCCCAUUAGUUGGACUUUAGUCCAAAAGCAAGUCAUUUGCCAGCAUUUCAGUGUGACUUUUUCGCUUUCCACAAACGUGAAAAAAGGUCGUCAUUUACCUAGAGAUAAAGCAUCUUUGCCUCUUUGGCUCUUUCCCAGACUCGCAGGUCUCUAUGCACACGUGGCUUUACACCAUUGGAUAAGAAUCCCCAGUUGGCAGACGCUUGUUAUACUGUACAUUAACCAUU